GACAGAGGGUGCAAACGUUGCUCGGAAUCACUGGGCGUAAAGGGUGCGUAGGCGGGUCUUUAAGUCAGGGGUGAAAUCCUGGAGCUCAACUCCAGAACUGCCUUUGAUACUGAGGAUCUUGAGUUCGGGAGAGGUGAGUGGAACUGCGAGUGUAGAGGUGAAAUUCGUAGAUAUUCGCAAGAACACCUGUGGCGAAGGCGGCUCACUGGCCCGAUACUGACGCUGAGGCACGAAAGCGUGGGGAGCAAACAGG
This 253-nucleotide ribosomal RNA is filed under the name uncultured bacterium. Its description in RNAcentral is "partial 16S ribosomal RNA". It matches the Rfam family "Bacterial small subunit ribosomal RNA", at positions 524 to 776 of the family's 1533-position model. The record is from RNAcentral.